This 492-nucleotide ribosomal RNA is filed under the name uncultured bacterium. Its description in RNAcentral is "partial 16S ribosomal RNA". It matches the Rfam family "Bacterial small subunit ribosomal RNA", at positions 29 to 507 of the family's 1533-position model. The record is from RNAcentral.
AGUGAACGCUGGCGGUAGGCCUAACACAUGCAAGUCGAACGGCAGCGCAGUAAGAGCUUGCUCUUACGGGUGGCGAGUGGCGUACGGAUGAGGAAUACAUCGGGAUCUACUUUUUCGUGUGGGAUAACGUAGGGAAACUUACUCUAAUACCGCAUACGAUGUACGGUGGUAAGCGUUGGAUCGUCUGACCUGGCGCGAUUGAAUGAGCCGCUGUCGGAUUAGCUAGUGGGGGGGGUAAAGGCCCACCAAGGCGACGAUCCGCAGCUUGUCUGAGAGGCUGAUCAGCCACACUAGAACUGGGACACGGACAAGGCUACUAAGGGAGGCAGCAGUGUGGAAUAGUGGGCAAUAGGCGCAAGCCUGAUCCAGUCAUCCCGCGUGUGUUAAGACGGCCCUCGGGUUGUAAAGACGUUCUGUUGGGAAAGAACAGCAGCCGGUUAAUACGCCGCUGUUCUGACGGUACCCAAAGAAUAAGCACCGGCUAACUUCGUG